AUGCAGAUCUUCGUGAAGACCCUUACUGGCAAGACCAUCACCCUUGAGGUUGAGUCCUCUGACACCAUCGACAAUGUCAAGGCAAAGAUACAGGACAAGGAGGGCAUCCCCCCGGACCAGCAGCGUCUCAUCUUUGCUGGCAAGCAGCUCGAGGAUGGCCGCACCCUUGCGGACUACAACAUCCAGAAGGAGUCCACCCUCCACCUGGUUCUCAGGCUCCGUGGUGGUAUGCAGAUAUUUGUCAAGACCCUCACUGGCAAGACCAUCACCCUGGAGGUUGAGUCCUCGGACACCAUUGACAAUGUGAAGGCCAAGAUCCAGGACAAGGAGGGUAUCCCACCGGAUCAGCAGCGUCUCAUCUUUGCCGGCAAGCAGCUUGAGGAUGGCCGCACCCUUGCAGACUACAACAUCCAGAAGGAGUCCACUCUCCACUUGGUGCUCAGGCUCCGUGGUGGUAUGCAGAUCUUCGUCAAGACCCUCACAGGCAAGACCAUCACCCUGGAGGUUGAGUCCUCGGACACCAUCGNNNNNNNNNNNNNNNNNACCCUUGCGGAUUACAACAUCCAGAAGGAGUCCACCCUCCACUUGGUGCUCAGGCUCCGUGGUGGCAUGCAGAUAUUUGUGAAGACCCUCACUGGCAAGACCAUCACCCUGGAGGUGGAGUCGUCUGACACCAUUGACAACGUGAAGGCGAAGAUCCAGGACAAGGAGGGCAUCCCCCCGGACCAGCAGCGUCUCAUCUUUGCCGGUAAGCAGCUUGAGGAUGGCCGCACCUUGGCGGACUACAACAUCCAGAAGGAGUCCACCCUUCACUUGGUGCUCCGUCUCCGUGGUGGCCAGUAA
RNAcentral lists this ribosomal RNA (843 nucleotides) under Triticum aestivum (bread wheat). Its description in RNAcentral is "partial small subunit ribosomal RNA". The record is from RNAcentral. Lineage: Eukaryota; Viridiplantae; Streptophyta; Magnoliopsida; Poales; Poaceae.